This 174-nucleotide ribosomal RNA is filed under the name uncultured delta proteobacterium. Its description in RNAcentral is "partial 16S ribosomal RNA". It matches the Rfam family "Bacterial small subunit ribosomal RNA", at positions 335 to 524 of the family's 1533-position model. The record is from RNAcentral. Lineage: Bacteria; Deltaproteobacteria.
ACUCCUACGGGAGGCAGCAGUGAGGAAUCUUGGGCAAUGGGCGAAAGCCUGACCCAGCGACGCCGCGUGAGGGAUAAAGGCCUUCGGGUCGUAAACCUCUUUUGUGAGGGAAGAAGUUCUGACGGUACCUCACGAAUAAGCCACGGCUAACUACGUGCCAGCAGCCGCGGUAAU